CGCCAGGUUCGCGUUUGUUCUACGCCAAAUCCCUCUGGUGGAAUUUUUGAUGAACUAAAUUCUAUACAACAGAUGGCACCACCAUAACGUAAACAGCUACCGUAUCAUGCAGUAUCUCUGGAUUUAAAUAAAUUUAAUUUGAAAAGCCUAAUUUUGCUUACGAAUCGUUAAUAAUAGGAUGAUAAUGAAAAAAAUAGUAAUAUCAAAGACUUUUUUAUAAGUCAUUUGCUUUAGAAUGGUUAAUAUAGCAAAAAACAUCAAAUAUAUUUUCAUUUUCAUGUCUGUAUAAUUUGACUGCAUCCGACGGUAGGUCUUGUUUUUGUUUUUAUUUGUUUUUGUGCAUGGUUUUGACUUUUGGCAAAUUUGGCGAUUCGGAUUCACCGGACCAGUUGAGCAGUCGCGAGAAGGACCGGGGUUGCCGGAUGAUUGCGGACUCGCAUCGAAUCGUGACCUGUCCUGCAUCGUUAAAGGAAAACGAAGGCGGACCCGGGCGACGGAAAUCCACGAUUCGAUAAGCCGGUGGAUUCGUUCAGCGUACAAGGCGAUGCCGAACACAGCCAGAGGCCGGCGAAGUCCAUGGGGAGCACCUGAAACCGUGAAGGAAGUUACCUUCGACGAGGAUAACUUUCAUGAGUUUGUAGUUUGAGAGAUCAAUAAGCAGGGCUUUUCCUCGCCGACCACCUUCCAAGUCCAGGGAUGACCGAUUGAGCUGUCCGGCCGUGACAGCGGGGAACCGCUGGUUCGCGAUUUGGAGGGCGGAGAAGGUGAUUACUACGCCGGGAUGUUUGAUCGAUUUGCUGGAGCGAGGCAUCCUGAGACAACCUGUCCCGUUGCACGUUUCUGUUGCUCGACGAGGCGGAUCGGAACCGAGCAGAUCUGGCCGGAUCGGUGCCGAUGUGGUCGAAGGAGGUUCGGGUGUUGGCGAAGGACACGAUUACAUCCAGAUUACCGUUGAUCUUGUCGGCGACCCGCAUCAUCCACUAGAUCGUGGAUAUUUAUGAGGAAAACGAACAGGAGGGCAAGCUGUUGUCGUUGCCAAGUACGUGAACAACUUUAUUACCUGGACCCGUCGGAGGAUUACAUCGGGAAGAUACGGUCACAUGGACCAGGUUGGAUUCGGUGCACUGCGGGAAGGUGGCUUCCAGAAAAACCGCUGAUUUAGAACAAUAAGUUGCUAUUGUAUGUUUAAUCUGUUUAGUUUGUUAAAUUUGUGUAUAAAAUAAAGGGUAAUUUUGGGGAUUCCGGUGUUGGGUUAGAGGGUUUCAGUUCCAGGACGUGUGGGUAGCAUUCGUGAUGCAGAUCGAGUGGAACCUAGCCGGUGCAACCAAUGUCGAUGGAGAAUAACAGACGGGUUCGAGUUCCUCAAUGCCAGCAGACGUUAAGCCUAAUCAGGCAUCUUCCCGGUGACCUUUCCUGCUUUCGCUUUUCCCCACGCUACUCGUCGAUGCAGGUCAUCAGGCUGGCCAUUCGGUCACUAUACUCCGCUCCGAACAACUGCACCCAGAUUUGGUCCGGUGAAACGGGAUGUGUCACGUGCAGAUCCCAGCUUUGUAGUUCCGAAUUUCUCAGGUGAGGUUUCGUAUAGAAACAGCUAUUCCUUCGGAAUCGCUCCGGUUUGAUCGCUCUUGAACGGUGCGGGAGAAGGCUUAGUUGGAAUACCGUAAGUAGAACUUCUCAU
Molecule: RNA transcript, 1678 nt
Organism: Culex pipiens pallens (northern house mosquito)
Lineage: Eukaryota; Metazoa; Arthropoda; Insecta; Diptera; Culicidae
Exons: 4
Source: RefSeq, a predicted model, not a curated record